GACCGCCAGAUACUUUCCACACG
Molecule: small nuclear RNA, 23 nt
Filed under: Arabidopsis thaliana (thale cress)
Lineage: Eukaryota; Viridiplantae; Streptophyta; Magnoliopsida; Brassicales; Brassicaceae
Description: snRNA_03440
Source: RNAcentral